RNAcentral lists this transfer RNA (76 nucleotides) under Burkholderia ubonensis. RNAcentral's name for it is "tRNA-His". Lineage: Bacteria; Pseudomonadati; Pseudomonadota; Betaproteobacteria; Burkholderiales; Burkholderiaceae. The record is from RNAcentral.
GUGGCCGUCGCCAAGCGGUUAAGGCCCGAGGCGGUGACCCUCGCAUGCAUGGGUUCGAAUCGCAUCGGUUACCCCA